Long non-coding RNA from Hylaeus anthracinus, 2340 nucleotides. RefSeq lists it as uncharacterized. The transcript is spliced from 3 exons. NCBI's taxonomy places the organism in Eukaryota, Metazoa, Arthropoda, Insecta, Hymenoptera, Colletidae. The record is from RefSeq and is a predicted model, not a curated record.
UGCAGUACGGUUUAUAUUCUUCUUUUAUGGCAAGCUUCGUGUACACCAUCCUAGGAUCCUGCAAAGAUGUGCCAGUUGGACCAACAGCGAUCAUCGCAAUCUUAACUAGGGAAACAUUACAAAAAUCUGACUUAGGACCCAACUUUGCAGUCCUCUUAACCUUCAUAUCUGGUUGUGUGUGUUUGCUGAUGGGAAUCAUACAAUUAGGUUUUUUGUUGGACUUCAUAUCAGGACCAGUUUUGAUUGGUUUCACAUCCGCAGCAGCGAUUAUUAUUGCCACGAGCCAAAUAAAGGACAUUCUAGGCAUCAGUAUCAGCGGUAGCAAGUUCUUAGAAGUGUGGCAAAGGAUAUUCGAAAAAAUUGGGGAAACAAAACUUUGGGACACUGCGCUGGGGAUCACGUGCAUAAUUGUCCUGCUUCUUCUCAGAGUUAGUAUCACUUAAAUACAAUUACCAUAGAUUAGAGAUAAAACGUGUAAAAGCAAUUUUGUAUUAAAGUUUGUUCCGGAAAUAAGAUUUACCUAAUUUAAACUUUAUGAGUAAUAAGAACUUCUAAUUGAAUACACUUAAACUUUAAAAUUUCUUUAACCUCUUGAAGGAUAUUAACAAACUUCCGGUUGCGGACAAAAGGGAACAGUAUAAUUAUGAAUAGAUUUUAUAAUAAUAUUUUAUCGAAACAUUAAAAGAUGAAAAUAUUACUUUAUAGGGAGGACUUGGUUAGGAGGAGUGGUGUGGUGUGUAUGGGUGGCGAGUGCUAUGAGUGUUAAAAGCAAUUUAAGUAAUAAGAAAGCGAUAGGUAUACACAUGGAGUAAAAGAAUUAGGUAGAGUAUAAGGGGGAGAGGAAGGGUACGUAAAGGCGAGGUCUAAUGUAAAGAAAUAGGGGUGUUAGGGGUGUAAUUCUGCGGGUCAGACGAUUGUCUGAUAGGUAGAGGUUAUGGGUAACGACGGCCGUAGAGCAGGACAAGAGAGCUCAGACGAAGAGGAAACAGUAGGUAAAGCAGGAGGGGCGCCCAACAAACGCCGAAAAAACAGCGAAACACGAGAACGAGAAGGAGAGAAUGGAGGAAUAUAUAACGAGAGGUAGGAAAGAGAUAGUGGAGGACAGGAGGUAGGCCACGGCGGGAAAUGCAUGCAAUGAAGAAAUAUUGAAAGUAUUAGCAGGAUUGGUUGAAGAAAUAAGAGGUCUAAAAGACGAAAUGCGUACAAAUAAUAAUAGGAUAACGGAAGAAAUGAGGGAAAAAGAAAUAGGAUGGGAGUUAAAAGUAAAAGGAAUGGAGAAAAGAAUGAUGGAUGUGGAAAGCAAAGUAGAGCGGAUAAGUGGGAAAGGGAAACAGCUACUUGAACUCAGAACAGGAAAGAAGGGAAUUGGAGGAAAAUAUUAAGGCAGUAGUGGUUAAUAAGGUUGAAAAAGAGAUGGGUGGGGAAGUGGUAAAGAUAAGAGGGUGGAUCGAAAAACAUGAAAAAAUGGAACGGAGAAAUAAUGUAGUAAUAAAGGGUCUAGAGAUACGGCAAGGAAAUGUAAAAACGCAAAUUGAAGAUUUUCUAGAGAAAGAAUUAAAAGUAAGAAGGAAGAUAAGUUGGGUGAAAGAAAUCGGUAGGAAGGAAAGGUGUGUAUUAAUAGUGGGAUUGGAAAGUUGGGAGGACAAGCAGGAGAUCAUGAGAUACAAAGAUAGGUUAGGAGGCACAAAGGUCUUCAUAGAUCACGAUUUAACGAGACAUGAGAGAGAAAUUCAAAACAAGCUAGUAGCAAUCGCCAGGGAAGAAAAAAGAAAAGAGAGGGAGGUGAAGGUAGGAUACCAAAAAAUAAGGGUGGAUGGGAGAUGGGCCCUUGCCCAAUGGCAGGAAAGUUGGGCAACAGUACCAGUUAGUCAGGUUUUUUAAUAAAUUUUCAGCCAGGUGGGCAAAUAAAUAGGAGAGGGGAGGGGGUGUUAAACAGGGAGAAGGCAGGGGAAUUGAAAGUAUUAUUCUGGAAUGUAGCUAGAAUAGGAAAGAAAGAUCAAAGUUUUGGCAAUAUGUGGAAAAGUUUGAUUGUAUAGGCAUGGUAGAAACGUGGAUGGAGGAAACACAUUGGAACAAGUUUAAAAGUAGCCUAUCAAAGGAUUUUGUAUGGAAGUGUCGAGGGGCAAAGAAGGUAAAUAGGAAAGGUAGAGCGAGAGGGGGAAUAAUAACAGCGGUGAGAAAAAACUUAGACAUAGAAUGUGGAAAUAGCGAAAUAGAGGGUUUAAUAGAAAGGAGGAUGAAAAUUGAAGAUAGAACAUGGAGGAUUUUUUCGGUUUACAAUGGUCAACAGUGGAAGAAAUUGGCAAGGAAGAUGGAAGAAGUGAUUAAAGAAGAGGAAGA